This is a long non-coding RNA of Phyllostomus discolor (pale spear-nosed bat), 1532 nucleotides long. RefSeq lists it as uncharacterized. The record is from RefSeq and is a predicted model, not a curated record. Lineage: Eukaryota; Metazoa; Chordata; Mammalia; Chiroptera; Phyllostomidae. The transcript is spliced from 2 exons.
UGCGCCGAGGGCGGCUGCCCGGCGGCCCGAAGGCGUGCGCCGGGGAGGGGCUGCGGGCCGCGGGGGACACGGCCGGCCCCCAGCCCGCGGCUUCGCGGGACAUUCUUUACCGACGACCGGUGUACCUGUUGCUGGGAAUGGGGCGAGCGCGGUGGUGGGAACUGAAGAUAAGGCUUCCGCGUUGGGGGGAGGGGGGUUGGAAGUGCUGUUGUGGUGACAAGAUAACCCCAAACAACUGCACGGCAACACGCUCGCAGGCCCUGGUGCAAACUGCGGCGAGCAAAAUACCUGCUCUGAGAGCGUUUGAGGAGAUAACACCGAAGUGAUCCUCGGAUUUCCAUACUGGGUUUGUUCUUGGUGGUGAGGGGAGUCGGAAGAUUUUGGUGAAGACGGAACUGCUGUCAUGAUGUCAUUUCUCUCUGUGGGAAGAGAAAGAUGUGUCCUGGGUGAAAAUAGACGCAGACUAUUCUAACACAACGGAAAUGGAGAGGAGGCAAGGGUCACAAAUGACCUGGAAACUUGGCCAGCCCUUUCCACCUCCAGUUCCUUCCUCACUGGGUUCCAGGAGGAGCCACGAGGGGGCGAUGUCUCCCCGAGCUUUGGCUGCGCGGUGGUCCUGGGCCCCUGUGCGGACCAGUGAAUGCCAGCACUUCCCUCUCCUUGGCCUUUCUGGCUUUUUACUGAACGUCCUCCACAGAAAGGCAUUGUCUUGCUGGAGCCUGGCGAAGGCCCAAGAAAAAUGAUAGUUGAUUUAGUCACUGGUGGUUCCAGUCAGACUCCAUUUACGAAGGAGGUGAAAGAUGUGUGAUUCCCGGCUGUGGGGAGAACCUCCCCGAACCCCACCCAAGGAAAAGGUGGCUUCCGUCCAGACUAGAACCUGAUUCCUUUGUCUUGGAGCCAAGCCAGCACUUUGUCCACUGUUAAAAGUCAAAAAUCUCUGCGAUAAAAAAACAAUAAGUUGCAAGAGAGGACCCAUGUUUGGCUGGUUCAUUAUUGCGUGCCCAAUACCCACACAGUGCCUAACGCGUAGUAGGCUCUCCAUUAUUUUUGAAUGAAUGAACACAUUGUCUUACCACUUUUGAUUCUCAGGCUUGAGUGACAUUAGGUCCUUCCACGGUGGGGCAGGGGGUCUGAGUUCGUGCACGGCUCUCCGCGUGGACAGACUGUGCGGAACAGGACACCUGGCAGAUUCAGGGCGGGGGCCUUCACUGUUUUGCAGAGGGGAAACCCCAGGUAGAGAGCUUGUGCACAACGGGACACCUGAUGAGAUUUCAGGAAAUAAAAGUGAGAUCGCACCGCUCAGCCAGUCAACUGAUGCAUGAGGCAGCUGACAGCAGAGCCGAGAGACCUGGAGUUUACAGUUAACGGUGACCCUGAAGGUCAGGAAGGCGUGUGGGGAUGACGUAACACGCCUGUGGACGGGGGGCGGCUCCUCGUUGGUCCUUUCCGUUAAGAAUAGUUAGACGUAUUUGGAAGAACAAUAGAUUGGUGUUGUCAGGAGAACUCAGUAAAAAUCUGUGAGUCUGGCUAUU